RNAcentral lists this small nuclear RNA (150 nucleotides) under Carlito syrichta (Philippine tarsier). Its description in RNAcentral is "U1 spliceosomal RNA (ENSTSYG00000027967.1)". It matches the Rfam family "U1 spliceosomal RNA". From Rfam's summary of the family: U1 is a small nuclear RNA (snRNA) component of the spliceosome (involved in pre-mRNA splicing). Lineage: Eukaryota; Metazoa; Chordata; Mammalia; Primates; Tarsiidae. The record is from RNAcentral.
AUACUCACCUGACAGGGGAGAUAGAUACCAUGGUCAUGAAGUUGGUUUUCCCGUUGUACUCCUGAUGUGCUGACCCCUGCGAAUUCCCCAGGUGCGGGAAACUCAACUGCAUAAUUUGUGGUAGUGGGGGACUAUAUUUGUGCUCUCUGG